RNAcentral lists this ribosomal RNA (396 nucleotides) under uncultured bacterium. RNAcentral describes it as "partial 16S ribosomal RNA". It matches the Rfam family "Bacterial small subunit ribosomal RNA", at positions 523 to 918 of the family's 1533-position model. The record is from RNAcentral.
AUGCGUAGGUGACAAGCGUUAUCCGGAUUUACUGGGCGUAAAGGGCGUGUAGGCGGUCUUGCAAGUCAGAAGUGAAAUUCCUGAGCUCAACUCGGGCGCUGCUUCUGAAACUGCCGGACUUGAGUGCUUGAGGGGAAAGCGGAAUUCCUAGUGGAGCGGUAAAAUGCGCAGAGAUUAGGAAGAACACCGGUGGCGAAGGGGAGUAUGUGGACAGAAAUAGACUGGGAGGCGCGAAAGCGUGGGGAGCAAACAGUAGUAUAUGCCCGGAUACCCCACGUCGUAAACGAUGAAUACUAGGUGUGGGAGGACUGACCCCCUCCGUGCCGCAGUUAACACAAUAAGUAUUCCACCUGGGGAGUACGGCCGCAAGGUUGAAACUCAAAGGAAUUGACGGGG